RNAcentral lists this small nucleolar RNA (133 nucleotides) under Dasypus novemcinctus (nine-banded armadillo). RNAcentral's name for it is "Small nucleolar RNA SNORA71 (ENSDNOG00000027126.2)". It matches the Rfam family "Small nucleolar RNA SNORA71". From Rfam's summary of the family: The members of this family belong to the H/ACA class of snoRNAs which bind a number of proteins (including dyskerin, Gar1p and Nop10p) to form snoRNP complexes. This class of snoRNAs are thought to guide the sites of modification of uridines to pseudouridines by forming direct base pairing interactions with substrate RNAs. The record is from RNAcentral. Lineage: Eukaryota; Metazoa; Chordata; Mammalia; Cingulata; Dasypodidae.
AUCUGCCAUCGAAAGUGACCAUGGGCUGCCCGUGUCCUGUUCGUGGAUAGUGCAGGGAGAGGAAUGUGGAAAGCAGUUUCCUGUGUUUGAAGGGUCCACAGCUGUCCCUUUCAAAUGACGGCACUUUCAUACA